Long non-coding RNA from Helianthus annuus (common sunflower), 834 nucleotides. RefSeq lists it as uncharacterized. The record is from RefSeq and is a predicted model, not a curated record. NCBI's taxonomy places the organism in Eukaryota, Viridiplantae, Streptophyta, Magnoliopsida, Asterales, Asteraceae. The transcript has 2 exons.
UUUGAUUUCAUUAGAUUUUAUUAGAUUUUAUGUGGGGAAUAUUCUAGUAAUAUACCAUAAAGAAGUUUUGGAAGAUCUUUAUGAAUCCUAAAAUACUCACCCUUCCAUCAUUCACCUUCUUCUUCCCUCCUCCCUCUGUUGCCCUCAGCUCAAACCCACACACAUACACCCACCAUUUUCAAGCUUCAAUCAUUCAAUCCAAGGUGAUCUAGUGGUGUAUGGAGGCCAUUUAGGAAGGUGUAUGGUGCUAGAACUUGAAGGACCACCUUGUGGAGCUUUUAACCUCUUGAUUUCUUCCUUGUUCAUCAUCUCCAUUUUUGUGCCACUUCCCUAGCCAUUAGAGCUAGUAGCAAAACGAGUAAAUUCGGUGAAGUUACGAGGUUUAGAGAUGAAACGGAAGCAUGCGGGAAUGUUUCGGAUCGAAUAACUACUUGGAACUGAAAGAAAUAUGAAGAAUGGAAGUUCAGGGACCUUUCGGUCAUUAUCGGAAGUGAAACAUAGUGUGAUGUUUGAGCUUUAUGAAGAAUACUAAAGUUGAGGGGCCAUUAUGUAAUGAUGUGGAAGUUGCUUUGUGAGUGGAAAAGGAAGAUGAAAUCAUGAUGGGGCUUACGGUGUGAAAGCCGUAGCUUACGGUUUAUACGUGUGGAAACCAAAAAGUAACAGUAGCUUUGAACCGUCAUCUACGGUCUUAUACAGUGCACAAGGGAAUUGCCAAACAACCCAUGUUGGGAAAUCAUCAUUCAUCACAUGCGCAGACUUGGAAGAGCACCAAUUAAAAAGGAGGCCAUUGUUUGUUUUAAGAAAAGCAUUAAAUCACAACAUCAUCAUCAUCGA